This 253-nucleotide ribosomal RNA is filed under the name uncultured bacterium. RNAcentral describes it as "partial 16S ribosomal RNA". It matches the Rfam family "Bacterial small subunit ribosomal RNA", at positions 524 to 776 of the family's 1533-position model. The record is from RNAcentral.
UACAGAGGAGCCAAGCGUUGUCCGGAUUGACUGGGCGUAAAGCGCACGCAGGCGGAUGCGCGCGUGGGGUGUGAAAUCUGGCCGCUUAACGGCCAGGCGCCAUCCCAUACGGCGCGUCUGGAGUGAUGCAGAGGUCGGUGGAAUUGCCGGUGUAGUGGUGAAAUGCGUAGAGAUCGGCAGGAACACCCAGGGGGAAACCAGCCGACUGGGCAUCUACUGACGCUGAGGAGCGAAAGCGUGGGGAGCGAACAGG